GUCUUUUUGAAAAUAAUUUAAAGUCUAACCUGCUCAGUGAGGAUUUAAAUAGCCGCGGUAUUUUGACCGUGCAAAGGUAGCAUAAUCAAUAGUUUUUUAAUUGAAAACUGGAAUGAAGGGUUGAAUAAGAAAAUAACUGUCUCAAUUUAAUUUAAUUAGAAUUUUAUUUUUAAGUUAAAAAGCUUAAAUAAUUUUAAAAGACGAGAAGACCCUAUAGAGUUUAAUUAUUUAAUAAUAUUAUUAAUUUUAGAAUUUAUAAAAUAAUUUUAUUUAAUAAUUUAAUUGGGGUGAUUGAAAAAUUUAAUAAACUUUUUUUUUAUUUAAACAAAAAUUUUUGAAAUUUUGAUCCAUAAAAAUGAUUAUAAGAUUAAAUUACCUUAGGGAUAACAGCGUAAUUUUUUUUAAGAGUUCUAAUCGAAAAAAAAGAUUGCGACCUCGAUGUUGGAUUAAAAUUAAUUUUUGGUGUAGAAGCUAAAAAAUUAGGUCUGUUCGACCUUUGAAAUUUUACA
RNAcentral lists this ribosomal RNA (509 nucleotides) under Periptyctus sp. CO940. Its description in RNAcentral is "partial 16S ribosomal RNA". The stretch from base 383 to 509 matches the Rfam family "Archaeal large subunit ribosomal RNA", at positions 2542 to 2669 of the family's 2987-position model. The record is from RNAcentral. Lineage: Eukaryota; Metazoa; Arthropoda; Insecta; Coleoptera; Corylophidae.